UCUAUCAAAGGAAAAAAGCU
RNAcentral lists this transfer RNA (20 nucleotides) under Trimeresurus insularis (White-lipped island pitviper). RNAcentral's name for it is "partial tRNA-Leu". Lineage: Eukaryota; Metazoa; Chordata; Lepidosauria; Squamata; Viperidae. The record is from RNAcentral.